CGCUACCAAUAUUGCUCUUGGAAACCGAUAAAUUUAUCCACAUUGCACCAUUACGAUCCUUAUAUGUCAGUUGUAUUUUAAAAGACAAAUGUAUCAACUAGCUAAUGAGCAUCAGUUAAUAAUCUUGUCUGCAUUGAUUCAACUUAAAACUAUUGUCUGAUCGGUUGUCAGGUGGAAUUUUCGAAAAUUCAUAAACAUUUAAAAAAAUUCUAAUUAAAUAUUUCGUGGAAGGGCAGAC
RNAcentral lists this long non-coding RNA (238 nucleotides) under Mytilus galloprovincialis (Mediterranean mussel). The record is from RNAcentral. Lineage: Eukaryota; Metazoa; Mollusca; Bivalvia; Mytilida; Mytilidae.